UGGCUCAGAUUGAACGCUGGCGGCAGGCCUAACACAUGCAAGUCGAACGGUAGCACAGGGGAGCUUGCUCCCUGGGUGACGAGUGGCGGACGGGUGAGUAAUGUCUGGGAAACUGCCCGAUGGAGGGGGAUAACUACUGGAAACGGUAGCUAAUACCGCAUAACGUCUUCGGACCAAAGUGGGGGACCUUCGGGCCUCACACCAUCGGAUGUGCCCAGAUGGGAUUAGCUGGUUGGUGAGGUAACGGCUCACCAAGGCGACGAUCCCUAGCUGGUCUGAGAGGAUGACCAGCCACACUGGAACUGAGACACGGUCCAGACUCCUACGGGAGGCAGCAGUGGGGAAUAUUGCACAAUGGGCGCAAGCCUGAUGCAGCCAUGCCGCGUGUAUGAAGAAGGCCUUCGGGUUGUAAAGUACUUUCAGCGGGGAGGAAGGUGGUGGGGUUAAUAACCUUAUCAAUUGACGUUACCCGCAGAAGAAGCACCGGCUAACUCCGUGCCAGCAGCCGCGGUAAUACGGAGGGUGCAAGCGUUAAUCGGAAUUACUGGGCGUAAAGCGCACGCAGGCGGUCUGUUAAGUCAGAUGUGAAAUCCCCGGGCUUAACCUGGGAACUGCAUUUGAAACUGGCAGGCUUGAGUCUUGUAGAGGGGGGUAGAAUUCCAGGUGUAGCGGUGAAAUGCGUAGAGAUCUGGAGGAAUACCGGUGGCGAAGGCGGCCCCCUGGACAAAGACUGACGCUCAGGUGCGAAAGCGUGGGGAGCAAACAGGAUUAGAUACCCUGGUAGUCCACGCCGUAAACGAUGUCGAUUUGGAGGUUGUGCCCUUGAGGCGUGGCUUCCGUAGCUAACGCGUUAAAUCGACCGCCUGGGGAGUACGGCCGCAAGGUUAAAACUCAAAUGAAUUGACGGGGGCCCGCACAAGCGGUGGAGCAUGUGGUUUAAUUCGAUGCAACGCGAAGAACCUUACCUGGCCUUGACAUCCACGGAAGACCUCAGAGAUGGGGUUGUGCCUUCGGGAACCGUGAGACAGGUGCUGCAUGGCUGUCGUCAGCUCGUGUUGUGAAAUGUUGGGUUAAGUCCCGCAACGAGCGCAACCCUUAUCCUUUGUUGCCAUCGAUUCGGUCGGGAACUCAAAGGAGACUGCCGGUGAUAAACCGGAGGAAGGUGGGGAUGACGUCAAGUCAUCAUGGCCCUUACGGCCAGGGCUACACACGUGCUACAAUGGCGCAUACAAAGAGAAGCGACCUCGCGAGAGCAAGCGGAUCUCAUAAAGUGCGUCGUAGUCCGGAUCGGAGUCUGCAACUCGACUCCGUGAAGUCGGAAUCGCUAGUAAUCGUGGAUCAGAAUGCCACGGUGAAUACGUUCCCGGGCCUUGUACACACCGCCCGUCACACCAUGGGAGUGGGUUGCAAAAGAAGUAGGUAGCUUAACCUUCGGGAGGGCGCUUACCACUUUGUGAUUCAUGACUGGGGUGAAGUCGUAACAAGGUAACCGUAGGGGAACCUG
Molecule: ribosomal RNA, 1504 nt
Filed under: Erwinia mallotivora
Lineage: Bacteria; Pseudomonadati; Pseudomonadota; Gammaproteobacteria; Enterobacterales; Erwiniaceae
Also listed under: 1 other name
Description: 16S ribosomal RNA
Rfam family: Bacterial small subunit ribosomal RNA
Source: RNAcentral